This 336-nucleotide unclassified non-coding RNA is filed under the name soil metagenome. RNAcentral's name for it is "partial contains 5.8S ribosomal RNA, internal transcribed spacer 2, and large subunit ribosomal RNA". The stretch from base 1 to 120 matches the Rfam family "5.8S ribosomal RNA", at positions 35 to 154 of the family's 154-position model. The record is from RNAcentral.
GAUGAAGAACGUAGCGAAAUGCGAUAAGUAGUGUGAAUUGCAGAAUUCAGUGAAUCAUCGAAUCUUUGAACGCACAUUGCGCCCCAUGGUAUUCCGUGGGGCAUGCCUGUUCGAGCGUCAUUUACCCCCUCAAGCUCCGCUUGGUGUUGGGCGUCUGUCCCGCUUCGCGCGCGGACUCGCCCCAAAGGUAUUGGCAGCGGUCGUGCCAGCUUCUCGCGCAGCACAUUGCGCUUCUCGAGGCACCGGUGGGCCCGCGUCCAUCAAGCUCACCCCCCCAGUUUGACCUCGGAUCAGGUAGGGAUACCCGCUGAACUUAAGCAUAUAAUAAGCGGAGGA